This 6573-nucleotide long non-coding RNA is filed under the name Homo sapiens (human). Its description in RNAcentral is "HSALNT0164298". Lineage: Eukaryota; Metazoa; Chordata; Mammalia; Primates; Hominidae. The record is from RNAcentral.
GCGGGACCCUGCAUACCUGGAAGCGGCGGGUGGCGUCCUCCUUGUCGCCCUCACCCACCCGGUCCGGGUGUACCUGCAGGGACACCUUGUGGUAGCCUCGUCGGACCUCGCCGUCGGAGGCCUCGCGUCGCACGCCCAGCACCCGGUAAAGGUCGGCGGUGCCGAACACUUCCUCGCAAAGGUCCAGCAGCCCCAUGCCGGGCGGAGAUACGACCCCGGAGGAAGCAGCCGCUCCCAGCUGCGCCGGGUACAACCCAGGACUGCUUCUUUUUCGCGCCCAAAAAGCCCAGGGCGCCUGCGUCACAAGCACUGAAGGGGCGUGGCCACGCCGCGCAUCCGCGCUUUACGGCGGCCGCAAAAUGAGGUGUGGCGAGUCAGGCGCGGGCCCGGGUAAGUAACGCCGGCAUGUGGAGUCACAGUCCCCGGCCGCGCGCAGGAGCUAGGUCUUCAGGGAAGUGAUGUUGCUCGGGUCUCUCCUCCCCUUGCUCUGGAAAUCUGGCGUCCGUCUUACCUUUUAGUGUCCAAGAACAACUUUUUCAAAAAGUUCAUAUAUUAGCUUGAAUUUACAAACUGCUGGCCUAUUUUUUUAAGUAGAAAACGGCCAAACAUCAGCAUUCAGCAGUUACACAUGGUUCAACUUAACAGAUGUGUUUUUUCAAAAAUGUUCUUGAAAGGAAUAGGUAAAGCUGUAGACCCAAAUAAUUUUGCACCCCACUGGUUGGAAAUGCUGGGGUACUUUCCCUCUAGCCCUGUAGGAAAAAACCCUAUACUGAAACCCAAAAAGCACAAAACACGGGUCUUCCAAAAACUCUUACCUAAUAGGACUUUCACCUUACACAUUGGUGGAGAGAGAUAACAUGACCCAAGCCUCCGUCUUAAUAACAUAAACUGCUGAAGCAAAGGCUCUUUCUUUUAAUACUCUGUGAAGUUCACAGCUGGGUUUGAACAUGUUGGAUCCCAGGUGGCAGCAGAGUGGGCUGGAGCAAUCAUCCAAGAGAUGGUGAGAAACUUGGGCCUGGAGACCCAAAGCAAGGUUGAGGCUGGGGAUAAAACUUUGUUAGUAGGGUAAACUCACAGAGGAAGUAUGUGUAUACAUAUCUUAAAGGAUAAACAAUGCUAAGUGAAUACCCGAGUUGGCAGAAAAUACCUUAUCAAAUAUCCCCUCACUGAUGUAGCAUUUUUCAGAAUCAUUCUGCUCUGCCAAUAAGUUUCUGCAAAGCCUCAAACUCUCCAGGAUACAUUAAUAUCUUUUAAACUUCCCAGAGUUGCCGUGAUUUUCAAAGCAUUUCUCUUUCCCAGAUCCAAGAUCAAACUCAGCUGAAGUCAGUUCCUCUCAACCUGCCCUGGCAUCAAAGUCUCAAAGCAAGUGGGGGCCAACCAGCAACAACCCCAGGGGAGCUUUGACAACCACAGAAUUUGAGAUGGCUGGUAAUCGUUCUCAGAACAUAAAACACAAAGUAAGUCGGCACAUUGAUAGAACCUCCUCUAUAAAUUUCCUAUAUCUUAGUCACACACCAGAGUUAAGCCAUCUGUCUUUGCUCAUUUUUCCCUCUAUGGACAACAUAAUAUGUUGGGAAGGGCUUUCCAGGAGGGCAUAACCGGGAGAUGAAUCUUACAUCACUGGGCAAGUUUCCACCUCUAGGCCUCAGCUUCCCUAUCUGUAAAACGGAGAUAAUCCUACCUGCCUUCAUAAUACCUUACAAUUGUCACAAAUAACCUUGUACACAAAAGGCCUAGGAUAUAUGUAGAUGCUUUGCAAUAUUAUCUUUCUUCCAGUUUCUUGUAUUUUUUAAGGUAUUCAAAUACAUCUAUUUUAACAUUUUUCUAUAUAUACAUUUGCUACGGAAAAUUGAAAUCGCACACUGAAAUAUCCUUUUAUUGCAACUCAAAUUUUCAAAAACCAGAAAAUCAAAUUAUUAUGCUCUAGCCAAAUUAUGUAAUGUUUUCUUUUUCUUUUCUCUGUCACCCAGGCUGGACUGUAGUGGAACAAUCACAGUUCACUGCAGCAUCGGCCUCCUGGGCUCAAGUGAUCUUACUGCCUCAGCUUCCCGAGUAGCUGGAACUAUGGGUGAGCAACACCACAGCCAGCUAAUUUUUUAAGUUUUUGUAGAGACGGGGUCUUGCUGUGUUGCACAGGCUGGUCUCAAACUCUGGCUUCAAGUGAUCCUUCCACCUCAGCCUCCCAAAGUGCUGAGAUUACAGGUGUGAGCCACUGCCCCAAUGGUAUCUUUAUAUUAUUUUUCCUUACAAGUUACUUCAAAUUCUUGAUGUUGAAUUUCAUCUCACUGACUUCAGGCUUUUAAAACACAUGGGAAUACUUGAGACCUAAGAAUGGUUGUGAGUCAAAUAAAAAAGUAGAACUAAAGUAUACUGAAGUUAUUCAAAUACAUUCAAACUAUAAAGAUCCCUUAUAGAUUACUGGCAUCAAGGUAGGAAGGAAAAGAUACAAGAAGUAAAAUGCAACACUCAUUACAGGUUGUCAACAUUAUUGGUAUACAGUUUAUCCUAACACAGAGCAGCCUUCUUAACCUGCUCCAUAAAAUUACCAGCAAGAAAGAAAAGUACAAGAAUAAGGUUCACAGCUGAAUUGGCUUGGUGUCCUAAUUCCCUAUUCCAGUAUUCUCAGAAGGAUCCCAUCUAUGAUAUAUGCAGAAAUCACAGCCACAUUUGAAUGGUUCAAUCUUGAUUCAUACUGAACUCCCUUAAGCCCAGCAGUUUCUCAUUCUUAAAAGGUAGGUUAUUAGAGCCCCAAAGCAAUUUUCAUAACAAAUCUACCUUUGUAUAUUUAAGAAUAUGCAUUAAGGCUAGGAGUGGUGGCUCACGCCAGUAAUCCUAGCACUUUGGGAGGCCGAGGUGGGCAGAUCACAAGGUCAGAUUGAGACCAUCCUGGCCAACACGGUGAAACCCCAUCUCUACUAAAAAUACAAAAAUUUGCCCGGGCGGUGGCUCACGCCUAUAAUCCCAGCACUUUUGGGAGGCCAAGGCGGGCGGAUCACGAGGUCAGGAGAUCAAAACCAUCCUGGAUAACAUGGUGAAACCCCAUCUCUACUAAAAAUACAAAAAAAUUAGCUGGGUGUGGUGGUGGGCACCUGUAGUCCCAGCUACUCCUGGGACUACUCGGGAGGCUGAAGCAGGAGAAUGGCAUGAACCCAGGAGACAGAGCUUGCAGUGAGCCGAGAUCGCGCCACUGCACUCAAGCCUGGGCGACAGAGCGAGACUCCUCUCAAAAAAAAAAAAAAAAUUAGCUGGGUGUGGUGGUGCAUGCUUGUAGCUCCCCGGCUACUCAGGAGGCUGAGGCAGGAGAACCUCUUGAACCCAGGAGGUGGAGAUUGCAGUGAGCUGAGAUUGCACCACCGCACUCCAGCCUGGCAACAGAACAAGACUCCGUCUCAAAAAAAAAAAAAAAAAGAGAAUAUGCAUUAGGCAAGACAAUAUAAACCUCCAAUUACAAAAAUCAAUUAAGAAAGGUUAACUGUUCUUGCACUUGUGGGAUGAACAUGAAGAUCUGAAUGGGCCAUGAAUAGUCUGGCUGGGGGUUUUGAAGCAGGAAGUCUUGGAAGCCAGUAAAUUGUAAAGUUGUCCAAGAGACCCAGAGCCCAACUCAAAAGUCCAAUCCUCCCAUAGCCACUGUCUAUCCCAAGACAAAGUCGAAAAAAGCUAAUUAGUACCCACACCCAGCUCUAAGUCACACAAGAACAAAUCUCUCCCUGGGCCCUGUGCAGGCCAGGCCAGAAGAGCAAGGGCAACUCAGGAUACUCCAUUUAUUGAACUCCAAAUCUAACAAAAUUAAGAUCGCUGCAGUGUUUCAAAAGGACCUUGACCUUGUUCCCACUGCUAUGCUCACUAAAGUCAGCUCAUUUAUGUUUCUGUAGCCUCUGUAUCUGUAGCUUCUGCAUCUGUUUUCUGAGAAGCUAACAGGACUUCACGUGCCCGUUUCCUUCGCAGUCUCUCAGCAUUUGUGAUCAUCAUAGGAUGCAGAGGGAAAAAGCCAGCAAGACCUAAAAGUAACAGAUUUUUCACUUAUUAUAACACAGUAUAAGCCAAUGCUUCCCUAGGAACUCUGUCUCACAGAACUGAGGUCUGAGAUCUGACCCAGUGCAUGGAUGCAAACCAUGCUCCUCACUUGCCAAACUCUGUACUACUUCUCCCCGGCAAGGAGACAGUGGAUGUCUACUUCCCUAACAAUAUUCCCCUUACUUUAAAAAACGUAAACUGACAGAUGGCCAUUCAAAACAUACUAUUCCUAUUUUUAGCAUAAAAUACCAGUCACCCAAAGUCUUACAAAGGAGUCCACAAAAGGGGCCUCCAGAUUCAAAAUGCCAAUUAGAUCACAACUUCAGCUCCCACUUCAGUCCUGAACAGCCUAGAGGGAAUGAAAUAACUCUUUUUUUUUUUUCUUUGAGAUGGAAUCGCCCUCUGUUGCCCAGACUGGAGUGCAGUGACGCGAUCUUGGCUCACUGCAACCUCCGCCUCCUGGGUUCAAGCGAUUCUCCUGCCUCAGCCUCCCCAGUAGCUGAGACUACAGGUGCGUGUCACCACGCCCAACUAAUUUUUUUUUUUUAUUUUUAGUAGAGACAGCGUUUCACCAUGUUGGCCACUCUGGUCUCAAACUCUUGACCUCAGGUGAUCCGCCCGCCUCGGCCUCCCAAAGCGCUGAGAUUACAGGCGUGAGCCACCGUGCCCAGCCGAAAAUCAUUCUUACACCUACUGUCCUGGAGCUGACUUCAGUUUAAAAUCCCCUCAAUAAGGUAAGACCAGAGCUGAGUUACCCAGAAGCUUUUCCAUAGGCUUAGAGAGGUGGGCCCCGCAGCCAAUCCAAUGACGGAUCCUGUCUAGGUUGAGGGCAACGAGUUUUUCUCCAUGACUGUUGGGCAAUGGAUCAUAGGAGCCCAGCUGCUCUACGAAACGGCCAUCCCUGGGACACUUGUUGUGAGCAGCCACAAUGCGGUAGAACGGCCGAUUGGUGCAGCCACCCAGGGCAAGGCGGAUGGUUAAGUGGCCCCCACGGUAGGCCUUGCAGAGGAGAGUAGCUGUAGAAAAGCAGCUGGUUAGGACACAAAAAACAGCACAAAAAGGACAAAAUGACACAGACGGCACAAUUCCCUUUUCCCACUGAAAUGUCUCACUUCCAAUCCAUUCCUGUCAAUCCAGUUUAGAUGCUACUCUUCUUUGUGAAACCCCUCUUGGCCAGUCCAGCCAGCAAUGACCUCCUCCUCAUACCCAAACCCACCCCGCAUGGGCUUGCCAUUCACUAGGCUCUGUGACCUUGUCGGAGCCUUAGCUGCUUCAAUGGGGUGGAAAUUUUUCAGCGGUGAUUAAGUGGGGAAAAAACUGAGAGAAGGAUCAAAUGUAAGGCAGUGUGGCUGCUUCAGGUUCGGGUUGCCUCCAUCGCGCCUGGGAGAGCUCUCCCCACCCGGCCCCGAACUCCCGAGCCCCGUGACCGCCCGGAACGUCUCGCGGUGGCCCGAUGACUCACUGAGGUGGACCAUGGUGCCGCCGGCGUGCGGCUCCUCGGAGAGCCCCGCUACCCGCACGCACCAGCUCUACGGCCUUGGCAGGGCAGAGAACAAACACAGAAAGAACCUGCAAGCCGACACCAGGCCGCACCGCCAAGCGGUACAAGCCCGAAAACCUCGACUCCGGAAGCGGAUGAUCCGCUCGCCACGCCUCCUCCGCUUGCCGCCCUAUACUUCCCACAAUGCAACACGGUGACCCCUAACGUACCUUAAACUGCUGCAAAAGAGGCGUUUCUCGUGGUGUCUUGUGGGAGUGGCGGUGCGAUCCCUCUCAGACUUGUGAGUCCCUGCUGGAGUCAGAAGUUUUAGGCGAAUCCCAGGCGCGCCAAGGAAAGUGCUACAAAAGCCAUCCAUCUUGCAAGCGUUGGUGCCGAGGCGCAACGCUGAGAACGCAAAUACUAAAGGGCGCUGUUCUUUCCUCGUGGAGCUCACAGUCCGCUGGGGAGACCGUGAGAUGACAGCAGAGAAACUAGCGCGAUCAGUAGUACUCAGCGCAAGGACAGCGAGCAGAGAAGGCAAACCUAGUGCUUGCUAAGGAAGACUUCACAGAGGAGUCACACCUUAAAAAAAAAAGGAGGGGUUAUUCCUGCUUUUGCCGUGCUGUGAUCCAGGGCAGAGCUCCAGGCUUCAUACGGUAAAACUCUCUGGGAAGGAAAGGAACUCAGAGUCCCAUGCAGAAAAUUGUUCAGCUGGAGGGGUAUCAGAAAGAUGGAUUUCCAAAGCCAACUGUUUCCUGUAGUGUGUGGAUCUCUGCAAGCAGAGCCUCAUCUUUCAAUUUCAGCUACAUGAAAGAGGAAGAAAGGGAAAGAUAUAUGUCAUACGUGAUAUACUUUAUGUGGCUUUGAAGACCCCUCUUUUGUGGGGCUACGGCUAAAGAACAUAGUUCCCUGGGAUGGAAUUGGCUCUUCCUAUUUCCCUACUUCAUGAAAACUCCAGUAGAAGACCUUAGAACCUUGUCCUGGUUACAUGGAUAUGUUUACUUUGUGAAAAUUCAUCAAGCACUAUGCACGGUCAUGAUUUGUACAUUUUUUUGUAAGAUAACUUCAUUAAAAUUUAC